RNAcentral lists this ribosomal RNA (101 nucleotides) under Escherichia coli. Its description in RNAcentral is "partial 16S ribosomal RNA". It matches the Rfam family "Bacterial small subunit ribosomal RNA", at positions 1 to 96 of the family's 1533-position model. The record is from RNAcentral. RNAcentral also lists the same sequence under 3 other names. Lineage: Bacteria; Pseudomonadati; Pseudomonadota; Gammaproteobacteria; Enterobacterales; Enterobacteriaceae.
AAAUUGAAGAGUUUGAUCAUGGCUCAGAUUGAACGCUGGCGGCAGGCCUAACACAUGCAAGUCGAGCGGUAGCACAGAGAGCUUGCUCUCGGGUGACGAGC